UACGGAGGGGGCUAGCGUUGUUCGGAAUUACUGGGCGUAAAGCGCACGUAGGCGGAUAUUUAAGUCAGGGGUGAAAUCCCGGGGCUCAACCCCGGAACUGCCUUUGAUACUGGGUAUCUGGAGGUCGAGAGAGGCGAGUGGAAUUCCGAGUGUAGAGGUGAAAUUCGUAGAUAUUCGGAGGAACACCAGUGGCGAAGGCGGCUCGCUGGCUCGAUACUGACACUGAGGUGCGAAAGCGUGGGGAGCAAACAGG
This 253-nucleotide ribosomal RNA is filed under the name uncultured bacterium. RNAcentral's name for it is "partial 16S ribosomal RNA". It matches the Rfam family "Bacterial small subunit ribosomal RNA", at positions 524 to 776 of the family's 1533-position model. The record is from RNAcentral.